RNAcentral lists this ribosomal RNA (253 nucleotides) under uncultured bacterium. RNAcentral's name for it is "partial 16S ribosomal RNA". It matches the Rfam family "Bacterial small subunit ribosomal RNA", at positions 524 to 776 of the family's 1533-position model. The record is from RNAcentral.
UACGGAGGGUGCAAGCAUUGAUCGGAAUUACUGGGCGUAAAGGGCGCGUAGGCGGCUUUUUAAGUCAGAUGUGAAAUUCCGGGGCUCAACCCCGGAGCUGCAUUUGAAACUAGGGAGCUAGAGUAUAGUUAGGGUAAACGGAAUUCCACGUGUAGCGGUGAAAUGCGUAGAUAUGUGGAAGAACACCGGUGGUGAAGACGGUUUACUGAGCUAUAACUGACGCUGAGGCGCGAAAGCAUGGGGAGCAAACAGG